Molecule: ribosomal RNA, 465 nt
Filed under: uncultured bacterium
Lineage: Bacteria
Description: partial 16S ribosomal RNA
Rfam family: Bacterial small subunit ribosomal RNA
Source: RNAcentral
GACGAACGCUGGCGGCGUGCUUAACACAUGCAAGUCGAACGGAAAGGCCCUGCUUGCAGGGUACUCGAGUGGCGAACGGGUGAGUAACACGUGGGUGAUCUGCCCUGCACUUCGGGAUAAGCCUGGGAAACUGGGUCUAAUACCGGAUAGGAGCCAUUUUUAGUGUGAUGGUUGGAAAGUUUUUUCGGUGUAGGAUGAGUUCGCGGCCUAUCAGCUUGUUGGUGGGGUAAUGGCCUACCAAGGCGGCGACGGGUAGCCGGCCUGAGAGGGUGGACGGCCACAUUGGGACUGAGAUACGGCCCAGACUCCUACGGGAGGCAGCAGUGGGGAAUAUUGCACAAUGGGCGCAAGCCUGAUGCAGCGACGCCGCGUGGGGGAUGACGGCCUUCGGGUUGUAAACUCCUUUCGCUAGGGACGAAGCUUUUUGUGACGGUACCUAGAUAAGAAGCACCGGCUAACUACGUG